This 410-nucleotide ribosomal RNA is filed under the name uncultured bacterium. Its description in RNAcentral is "bacterial SSU rRNA". It matches the Rfam family "Bacterial small subunit ribosomal RNA", at positions 354 to 776 of the family's 1533-position model. RNAcentral also lists the same sequence under 1 other name. The record is from RNAcentral.
GUGGGGAAUAUUGCACAAUGGGGGAAACCCUGAUGCAGCGACGCAGCGUGCGGGAUGACGGCCUUCGGGUUGUAAACCGCUUUCAGCAGGGAAGAAGCGCAAGUGACGGUACCUGCAGAAGAAGUACCGGCUAACUACGUGCCAGCAGCCGCGGUAAUACGUAGGGUACGAGCGUUGUCCGGAAUUAUUGGGCGUAAAGAGCUCGUAGGUGGUUGGUCACGUCUGCUGUGGAAACGCAACGCUUAACGUUGCGCGUGCAGUGGGUACGGGCUGACUAGAGUGCAGUAGGGGAGUCUGGAAUUCCUGGUGUAGCGGUGAAAUGCGCAGAUAUCAGGAGGAACACCGGUGGCGAAGGCGGGACUCUGGGCUGUAACUGACACUGAGGAGCGAAAGCAUGGGGAGCGAACAGG